UAUUUAGUUAUAUUCUUAAUUAGUAGAUUCUUAAUGUGCGUUCUAGUUAACACUAGCAAGUGCACUAGUCAUUUCCAAGUAAUAUAAUGAUGAGAAAGAGUAUCAUCCCACAAGGAUCAAAAUUGUUAAUCGUAAUUAAGCUAAUACUACCCUAAUGUUAUUUGAGAAAUUGAUAAUUGAAUUUAACUAAACUAAACUAAUAAUAACAAUAAAAAAUAAAAGCAAGCAAGUAAAUCAAUAAAAGAAACUUAUUAUGACAAAAGUGCUAGGGUCAGAUUUCACCUUCACCUAUAUAUGACAACCAAUCCAAUGGAAG
RNAcentral lists this unclassified non-coding RNA (316 nucleotides) under Hevea brasiliensis (rubber tree). Lineage: Eukaryota; Viridiplantae; Streptophyta; Magnoliopsida; Malpighiales; Euphorbiaceae. The record is from RNAcentral.